CACGCUGUAAACGAUGCUAACUCGUUUUUGGGCUUUCGGGCUCAGAGACCAAGCGAAAGUGAUAAGUUAGCCACCUGGGGAGUACGUUCGCAAGAAUGAAACUCAAAGGAAUUGACGGGGGCCCGCACAAGCGGUGGAUUAUGUGGUUUAAUUCGAUGAUACGCGAGGAACCUUACCAAGACUUAAAUGGGAAUUGACAGAUUUAGAAAUAGAUCCUCCUUCGGGCAAUUUUCAAGGUGC
This 240-nucleotide ribosomal RNA is filed under the name uncultured Chryseobacterium sp. Its description in RNAcentral is "partial 16S ribosomal RNA". It matches the Rfam family "Bacterial small subunit ribosomal RNA", at positions 796 to 1041 of the family's 1533-position model. The record is from RNAcentral. Lineage: Bacteria; Pseudomonadati; Bacteroidota; Flavobacteriia; Flavobacteriales; Weeksellaceae.